UUCCAAUUGAAUUUCAAAUUGAAAGGCAAAUUGCUGAAUAGGAAAGAUUCUCCAAGUUUGCUAAACUUUCAGUUCAAGUGGUCUACAUUUUUAAAUUUACUUUGGAUCCCUACAAAUCUCGCUUUUGUGUAAAUAUUUACUGAAUGUAUUUUGUAAGGAGCAGGAGGGUGACCAACUUUACCUGCAAGUGGGUGGAUUUAGCACCACGACAGUUACAAUAUACUGUAUUAGUUAUGUAGCUUGGAGUAUCCCUUUAUCUAUAGGUAUCAAAUGUUAGAGAUUUCUGGUACUACAUAAACCGUAACAACAAAAUAGAGCAAUGGUGAAAAGGAUCAGAAGAUAAUGUCAGACGGAAGCAGGAGCAGGUUGUAUAUCUGUAUUUUUAUAAAAAUACAUUCAUCAAAUUUUUGUUCUGUGGAUUCCAGACAGAGCUUCGAUAUUUGUUGGAUUAUUAAAUCACAAAUAAAUAUGAGGUUUCCAUGUAAAACAAAAAUUACAUUAUGCGCUAACUUAUUUUACAAGGUGGUAAAUUAGUAGAAUAAAAGGACUGUAUAGCUGUGAAUAAAUCACAAGAAAUACCAGGGGAGUGCAGUAUAAAAGUGACCAUAAAUAAUUCUUAUAGCGUAGAUUCAAUAAUUCUGUGUAUAUCUGUAUAUAAAAUACAAUAAAAAUACAUACAUAGGGCAAUAUUGUAAGAAAUAUGUAUCAAUAUGUAUAUGUGUAAUCUGCAAUGGAACCACUCGCAUGAACCGGAGCCUCAUAUAGCAGGCUCUGGCUUUAGCAGCAUGGAGAUACAAUAGCUUGUGUCCUCUCAGGUAGUCUGGUCAUCAAUCCCAGGAAACAGGCAGGAGAUGGCUUUUUGUAAGCAGAAAAAACAUUUUAUUGGAUCACACAGCCAUAUUGUAUUUUAUACACAGAAUCCUUGAAUGAACGCUAUUAGUAUUAUUUAUUGUUACUAUUUAUAUUGCACUCCCCUGGCAUUUCUUGUUCACAGCUAUACAGUCCUUUUAUUCUAUACAUUUGUUUUGUGCUCCAGUGGGUGAUCGGUGGCACUGGGGAUUGUUGCAUAUAUUUUGAAGCGCCAAGUUAAACCUCAUUGUUACGUGUAUUUGGUAAAUUAGUAGAAUUGACAUUGGCAAUACUCAUCUAAGUAUAAGAAUAUCGAACAGUUUUGUUCCUGAAUUAAAAUUAUCAAAACAUGAGAGGCAAUUAGCUUAUACAUAAGGAAGAACUCUAUACCUUGUUGUAGCAAUUGCACAGAACAAAAUAUGUUUUUGUUGAUAUCUUUUUUUUGGUGUGCAAAGUGCUGCAUGCAAUAUACUGUAGGAGGCAGUUUGUAUCUAAUAUCAAAUUAAAAAAACACUGUACUGUCUUAAAGUGUCACUAUAAGCUUCAUAUCCACUACAACUCAUUAGGUUUAUGGUGCUCAGACUCAUGUGCCUCUCCAAAGUUCUUAUCAACUGGUUUUCGUGUGGCCCCUUAUCUGGGCACAGUUAAUGCAUAAAAGAACUUUCACAUAAGCCCAUCCAUAUUUGGAUAGCAGUAAUGGGCUACAAGAGCAGAUGGCGGUUAGCCCAGUACUCUCCCCGCUUAUCGUUGUCAGCCAAAUUUACUGAAAGAAGGACUGGGCUUUAUUCUCCUAAAUACUGAAUUAACGUUAAUCAAAGGGGAAGGUCCUGUGGACAUUUUGUACCAUGAGCUGUAGUGGUUUUGGUACUGAGAG
This 1723-nucleotide long non-coding RNA is filed under the name Pelobates cultripes (western spadefoot toad). The record is from RNAcentral. Lineage: Eukaryota; Metazoa; Chordata; Amphibia; Anura; Pelobatidae.